This 451-nucleotide ribosomal RNA is filed under the name uncultured Paracoccus sp. RNAcentral's name for it is "bacterial SSU rRNA". It matches the Rfam family "Bacterial small subunit ribosomal RNA", at positions 8 to 507 of the family's 1533-position model. The record is from RNAcentral. Lineage: Bacteria; Pseudomonadati; Pseudomonadota; Alphaproteobacteria; Rhodobacterales; Paracoccaceae.
AGAGUUUGAUCCUGGCUCAGAACGAACGCUGGCGGCAGGCCUAACACAUGCAAGUCGAGCGCACCUUCGGGUGAGCGGCGGACGGGUGAGUAUCGCGUGGGAACGUGCCCUUCUCUACGGAAUAGUCCUGGGAAACUGGGGGUAAUACCGUAUACGCCCUUUGGGGGAAAGAUUUAUCGGAGAAGGAUCGGCCCGCGUUGGAUUAGGUAGUUGGUGGGGUAAUGGCUCACCAAGCCGACGAUCCAUAGCUGGUUUGAGAGGAUGAUCAGCCACACUGGGACUGAGACACGGCCCAGACUCCUACGGGAGGCAGCAGUGGGGAAUCUUAGACAAUGGGGGCAACCCUGAUCUAGCCAUGCCGCGUGAGUGAUGAAGGCCUUAGGGUUGUAAAGCUCUUUCAGCUGUGAAGAUAAUGACGGUAGCAGCAGAAGAAGUCCCGGCUAACUCCGUG